AGGGGCUGGUAUGGGUUGCUGUUCCUCCUCCUUCGUUGCUGUUGGCUGAUUCUCUGCCUCUGCCCCCUUCCUUUCUCCUUCAAAUGAGAAUUUCAUGGAAUAGUCACACUUCACCAUACUGAUCAGGCUCUUUUAGACUAUAGCUGUCCGCAAGUAAGGAUGACUCCUGCAUGUUCAGGUAUGUUUCCUUGGGCGUAUUUAUACAUAAUUCAGUCUGUGCCAGAACUAGGGGAGCCUGCUUCAUCAUCUGUCUGUGACAAUACCCCACUCAGCGCCUCUGAACCUCUUCCCAACCCCAUUGCAUCUAUGCCAUUUUAUUCCUUCACCAUUUAUCUGUGAGGUUUCUGUCUCUUACUGAGUUUGCUCUAGGAGUUUUGCCUCAUAGUGCAGCUGAGACCUGCAAGGGGCUAGCAGGAUUGUAACCAAAAACUUUUCUCUUACCGUCAGGAUGAUGCAUAGCUUAAGAUUAAGGAAAAUCUGUCUUCAUUUGUUGUUGGGACUAGCUACAGCCUCCUGAGUUAGUUCGUUUAAGUCUGUUCCUUAAUUCCUCUCUGCACUAGAGAACACAGGCCUCAUUCUUCUAAAAGAAGCCACGAAGCAAAGGAGGCAGACCUAGCGCAAAAAAAAAAAAAAAAAAAAAAAAAAAGCAGCCCCCUAAGUGCAGGGCCCUUUGGACUUUAUCCCUCCCCUCAAAGUAAUUAGCAUAUUCAAGGCAUUUCAGCCCCACCCCUUACCCAAGACCAAGGGUGGGGAAAUGAAGCUCUCUGCUAAAAGUAUCCUGCUUGGAGGAAAUUUGAGUCCUUAAAGUGCUGCCCAAAAACUGCAAGGGAAGGUUUGAGGGCAGCCAUGAGGUUUUCCUUGUUAGUCACCACGCAGGCCAGUAGGUGGCAUCAGUGUACAAAACCAGCUUCCAGUACAGGAGCCACAUCUGAACUUUUGUGUCCCCAUCUUAGCAGGUAGAGAUGGGGAACCAGAGACAGAGGGAUUCCCUCCCUGCUGUAUAGCAGGUACCAUAAGCAAGAUCAUAUUCCUUAAUUCACUGUUGAAUGUUUGUAUAGUCCUGACACAAGGACUGCCUGGAGACCCUCCUGAGGCAUGGUGCUUGGCAGCUGCCCCAACACUUCCAGGCUAAAGCAAUGUCUUCACUGCCAAAAAUGGUGUUUUUACUGCAGCGAAACUAAUAUGCAUUAGCUAGCCUGCUGUAAAACCUUAGUGGAGGCAAAGCACUGGAGUUUUCCGAUGAGGUCAACCACUGAUAGAGGUAUAAUGUUGACAUCACAUGGUUAUCCUGUGGUGCUUUGUAGGAUUUUAAUGAAGGCUAGCUAACGUGUAUGAUCACACUGUUAAACAAAGGAAAACAUCUUUUUUGCAGUGGACAUAUCAUACACACAGAUUUGUGCUGCAAACGGAGGAGGAGAGCUCCCAGUGGGUGAGUGACAUUACUAUUAAUUAGCAGUGGCCACAGGUGACCUGCAGCUCUCGUCUGCAAUCCUAAGCUCUCCUGCAGCAGCUCAGUUCAUUUCAGGAAAAAGUGGCAUAAGCUUCAGUGCAGCAAUGUGGAGGCUCUUCUGGCUGUAGAGGCUCCCCUUGGAAGUGGCUUAGGAAAUCUGCUCCAUGAGAACAGAAACACAAUGGGAGCAAGCUUACCACCACCCCCCCCCCACCUCAGACUGUAGUAUUCAUGUGUUGCGUAGCCUCCCUUAUUCCGUUAUCCACUCUGCUGGGUGGAGAUUCUGUGCCCCCCUCCUAUUUUAAUUGGAACACCAAAAGCCUCUGAUCCCCUUUUAAAAAUCCAGCACAGAUCCGGUCUCAUCUCAGAUUUGGCACAGCAGCCUCAACUGUUUCACUAUCAUUGUGUUUAAACCCCCCUCCAAAAUACCACAGCCCUCCCUCAGCUAAGAGCAAUGAGCCUAUAAACAUGAAAAGGAAUUUAAAGAAGAGUUUGACAACUUACCUUACUAGCAGAGAGUUGACAGAUUUUCUCAGUAUAUGUGGUGAAACUAAGGAUCUUAAUGCAUCCUGGACAGUUUAAGAAUAUACUCUUUACUUUAAUGCAUUGUUUGGUAACUAUGACUGAUCACUUGAGAAAUUAAACUUGACAUUUCACUUCCUUACAAGAGACUUGAAAUGGGGUAUUGGUCAAAGCUAUAAUGGCGAGAGACCAUAAUCAACAGAGCUGUAAGAGUACUUCCUAGUCCCCAUUGGCACUACAGGAGGUUGGAGGGUACCAAAUGCAAGAGGAACAGCUUUUAACAAUCACACAGGAAGUUUGAAAAGUAAGGAUCCUUUUGGCCAUAUCCCUAUCAGGGACUGUAUUGCUCUGAGAUUUAGGACUAAUAGUUGCACCAUUUUCCUGCUAAUGGAAUGCUAAAAAUCACUGGGUCUAGUAUUUUAUAGUGAUGUUGACAUUAUCCACUCUGAGACCACCACUACCUAUCUAUCAAUACUGAAGAGGAACUAAAGUCACCUUUCUCAUACUGAUUUAAAACCAUGCAGUAAAGAUAUUUGUACCUCCAUGGGUUUAGUAAUUGGGACAUUGUCAGGUCGAAUUUGGCCCCAUAUCUAGGUUUUGUAAGUAAGCUUUUACCAUACGUAAAACAAAUGUUUCCCUAUAUAUUUGAACACCAAGGGAGGGAGUUUUUAAACAAUGUUUCCCCUGCAGUGUUUGCUAUUUUAACAGUAUCAUUAGGGGUUAAAUUGUGAGAAUCAUGAUGUGAAAUUGGAUUUGUCAAGCUGCCAUUUCCAGUAUCAAAACAACAACAGGAGAAGCAAAACACUGUAAGUAGUGCCAUUGAACUUAAAACUUCAAUUUUAAGCCAAGACAUUUGUAACAGACAAGGAAACUUUAUAAAUGUAUGUAUUUUUAGCCAGAUGGGAUUAAAGUUGUCCUACAACGAA
Long non-coding RNA from Trachemys scripta elegans, 2898 nucleotides. RefSeq lists it as uncharacterized. The transcript has 2 exons. The record is from RefSeq and is a predicted model, not a curated record. Lineage: Eukaryota; Metazoa; Chordata; Testudines; Emydidae.